CAAAGAAGAUAAGUUUUAACUCAUUUAAAUAAAUAUAAGCUACAUAGCACUUUGAAUAGAGGGAAGGGCUGCGUCCCCCAAACAGUCAUCCAGCAUAGACAUACUGCAGCCCCAAAGCCAUCGCCAGUCACCCCUUGGGCUUUAUUUGCUGAAAAGCAUUGGCAUUUGCUGAGAUGGUUGUGCACCCAUCUGUACCCAGAGAAGCUUGUCAGCCACUCUGAGCCUUUCUGAAGCAACUCGGCCCCAAAGGGAAGACUCCUCCUGUGUUUGGUCGUGGGUCUUCUGAGGAGGCUGAGGAAUAAUGUGGGAGAAAGGAAAGAAGAAGCAACCUCCGAUUCAGGGUUUCUGUUCAUAACAACAUUCUCCCCAGAAGAAGGAGGGGGAAUUGGAUAGCUUUGGGAACCAGUAAUGGGAUAGGGAAUUUUUAAAACCUGUAUAGACCACCUGUUUGAAACUGUCUCACAGGACACGGGGACCAAAAGCCACUGUCGCCUGACAGCUGCUUGGUGGGAGACACGAAAUGAACAGGGUCUCAUUUUAGUGCCCGGAGGGACCGGUGUGCCACGGUCAGAGCACACUCUCAGCUGGCACCUCUGUGGACAGAGUCCAGGGUGGCCAUCCUUCACGCUAUUUAAUUCGUUUGCUUGUCACAGGAGUGGUUACGGAGCAAAGCUCACAGUAGGGUGCUGAGGGGUCGAUGACAGCAGCUUCUGCAGUCUCAGCACAGGGUGCAUCUGGAUCAGAGCCUGGGCACAUCUAAAUUAUGCCUGUUUUGGAAACUGGCUGCACUUUCUCCUCCUCCCUGUCUGUGGAGCGAGGCCCAGUUCUGGCGUGGGAUGUAGGCAGAUUCUUCUGCAGGGGGCACCUGCUCCAUCUACAGCUAAAGGGUGGACCUACCUGAAAGUUUUGUCACUGUGACUCAGACCACUAAGAUGCUGCUCUUCGAUGUGCCAACACGAAGGGGUAAAUGGUGUGGGUGUCAGUCAGUCAGGCUGUAAAUGGUGUGGGUGUCAGUCAGUCAGGCUGUAAAUGGUGUGUGUGUCAGUCAGUCAGGCUGUAAAUGGUGUGGGUGUCAGUCAGGCUGUAAAUGGUGUGGGUGUCAGUCAGUCAGGCUGUAAAUGGUGUGGGUGUCAGUCAGGCUGUAAAUGGUGUGGGUGUCAGUCAGUCAGGCUGUAAAGGGUGUGGGUGUCAGUCAGUCAGGCUGUAAAUGGUGGGGGUGUCAGUCAGUCAGGCUGUAAAGGGUGUGGGUGUCAGUCAGUCAGGCUGUAAAUGGUGUGGGUGUCAGUCAGGCUGUAAAUGGUGUGGGUGUCAGUCAGUCAGGCUGUAAAUGGUGUGGGUGUCAGUCAGCCUGUAAAUGGUGUGGGUGUCAGUCAGUCAGGCUGUAAAGGGUGUGGGUGUCAGUCAGUCAGGCUGUAAAUGGUGUGGGUGUCAGUCAGUCAGGCUGUAAAGGGUGUGGGUGUCAGUCAGGCUGUAAAUGGUGUGGGUGUCAGUCAGCCUGUAAAUGGUGUGGGUGUCAGUCAGUCAGGCUGUAAACGGUGUGGGUGUCAGUCAGUCAGGCUGUAAAUGGUGUGGGUGUCAGUCAGUCAGGCUGUAAACGGUGUGGGUGUCAGUCAGUCAGGCUGUAAAUGGUGUGGGUGUCAGUCAGGCUAUAAAUGGUGUGGGUGUCAGUCAGUCAGGCUGUAAACGGUGUGGGUGUCAGUCAGGCUGUAAAUGGUGUGGGUGUCAGUCAGGCUGUAAAUGGUGUGGGUGUCAGUCAGUCAGGCUGUAAAUGGUGUGGGUGUCAGUCAGGCUAUAAAUGGUGUGGGUGUCAGUCAGGCUGUAAAUGGUGUGGGUGUCAGUCAGUCAGGCUGUAAAUGGUGUGGGUGUCAGUCAGUCAGGCUGUAAAUGGUGUGGGUGUCAGUCAGGCUAUAAAUGGUGUGGGUGUCAGUCAGUCAGGCUGUAAAUGGUGUGGGUGUCAGUCAGUCAGGCUGUAAAUGGUGUGGGUGUCAGUCAGGCUGUAAAUGGUGUGGGUGUCAGUCAGGCUAUAAAUGGUGUGGGUGUCAGUCAGUCAGGCUGUAAACGGUGUGGGUGUCAGUCAGUCAGGCUGUAAAUGGUGUGGGUGUCAGUCAGGCUGUAAACGGUGUGGGUGUCAGUCAGGCUGUAAAUGGUGUGGGUGUCAGUCAGGCUAUAAAUGGUGUGGGUGUCAGUCAGUCAGGCUGUAAAUGGUGUGGGUGUCAGUCAGUCAGGCUGUAAAGGGUGUGGGUGUCAGUCAGGCUGUAAAUGGUGUGGGUGUCAGUCAGCCUGUAAAUGGUGUGGGUGUCAGUCAGUCAGGCUGUAAACGGUGUGGGUGUCAGUCAGUCAGGCUGUAAAUGGUGUGGGUGUCAGUCAGUCAGGCUGUAAACGGUGUGGGUGUCAGUCAGUCAGGCUGUAAAUGGUGUGGGUGUCAGUCAGGCUGUAAAUGGUGUGGGUGUCAGUCAGUCAGGCUGUAAAUGGUGUGGGUGUCAGUCAGUCAGGCUGUAAAUGGUGUGGGUGUCAGUCAGUCAGGCUGUAAAUGGUGUGGGUGUCAGUCAGUCAGGCUGUAAAUGGUGUGGGCGUCAGUCAGUCAGGCUGUAAAUGGUGUAUCAGUCAGGUUGUACAUGGUGUGGGUAUCAGGCUGUAGGAAAACUGUUAGGAAAGCGAUGACUCCAUUGCAAUGCUGUGUACAUAGUUUUCAUGUUGGCAGAUGUUUGAAUAAAAAUGGUCUAUUCUAGGAAA
Molecule: long non-coding RNA, 2733 nt
Organism: Homo sapiens (human)
Lineage: Eukaryota; Metazoa; Chordata; Mammalia; Primates; Hominidae
Exons: 2
Source: RefSeq, a predicted model, not a curated record